UAAAGUCAAAGUAGCAUUGAUAUUUAUGGUCAUGGCAAUUCAAAAAGAAUAAAAAAUAAAAAAUAAUUUUAAAAAAAUAAUAAUAAUAAUAAUAAUAAAAUAAAAAAGCACCCCUGCAUCGUGACGAACGUUUUGACCGUUGCAUGAUCAGAGGUGUGACGAGCGUAACGCAUGCUGUCACGGUCACCACACCCCCAUGACGCCCGUCACGCAUGCUGUCACGAACGUGACAACUUGCUUUCUCGUAAAUGCUUUUGACCGUUGUCAUGACCGUUACUCCUAUUCAUCUCACCUCUUUACCCCCAUUCAACUCACCUCUUUAUCCCCAUUAAUUU
Molecule: long non-coding RNA, 335 nt
Filed under: Lathyrus oleraceus (garden pea)
Lineage: Eukaryota; Viridiplantae; Streptophyta; Magnoliopsida; Fabales; Fabaceae
Description: Pisum sativum (pea) long non-coding RNA (PSAT_LNC011916)
Source: RNAcentral